GACGGAGGAUGCAAGUGUUGUCCGGAAUCACUGGGCGUAAAGCGUCUGUAGGUGGUCAAAUCAGUCAACUGUUAAAUCUUGAGGCUCAACCGCGGAAUCGCAGUCGAAACUAUUAGACUAGAGUAUAGUAGGGGUAAAGGGAAUUUCCAGUGGAGCGGUGAAAUGCGUAGAGAUUGGAAAGAACACCGAUGGCGAAGGCACUUUACUGGGCUAUGACUAACGCUCAGAGACGAAAGCGAGGGUAGCAAAUGGG
Molecule: ribosomal RNA, 253 nt
Filed under: uncultured bacterium
Lineage: Bacteria
Description: partial 16S ribosomal RNA
Rfam family: Bacterial small subunit ribosomal RNA
Source: RNAcentral